RNAcentral lists this ribosomal RNA (1447 nucleotides) under bioreactor metagenome. RNAcentral's name for it is "bacterial LSU rRNA". It matches the Rfam family "Bacterial large subunit ribosomal RNA", at positions 764 to 1983 of the family's 2925-position model. The record is from RNAcentral.
UCGCGGAGGACCGAACCGCAUGACCGUUGAAAAGGUCUGGGAUGAGCUGUGGGUAGCGGAGAAAUUCCAAUCGAACCCGGAGAUAGCUGGUUCUCCCCGAAAUAGCUUUAGGGCUAGCCUCAGGGAAAAAUCUUACGGAGGUAAAGCACUGAAUGGGCUAGGGGCCUUACCGGGUUACCGAACCCUAUCAAACUCAGAAUGCCGUAAAGAUGUUACCUGGGAGUCAGACAGCGUGAGAUAAGUUUCGUUGUCAAAAGGGAAACAGCCCAGACCAUCAGCUAAGGUCCCAAAAUUGCAGUUAAGUGGAAAAGGAUGUGGGUUUGCUAAGACAACUAGGAUGUUGGCUUAGAAGCAGCCACUCAUUCAAAGAGUGCGUAAUAGCUCACUAGUCGAGUGAGCCUGCGCCGAAAAUUUUCGGGGCUCAAAUCGUGUACCGAAGCUAUGGAUUCAGAAGUCGGAGACCAGAGGUCAGAAACCAGAAAAAGAGGUAUGAAAAAGAUAACCUCAUAUGAAGAUUUGUAAAUAUAUCAACAGAAAUGAAGGUUCUAGUGAGUAUAAGUAGGGACUUGGGAUAUAUAAGCAAUGAGACAUAUGAAAGGAUAGCUGAAAGCUAUACCGGGUUAGGCAAGAGAAUAAAUACCUUGAUAAAAAACUGGAAACAAUUCUGACAUCUGGCUUCUGGUAUCCGACUUCUGUGUGGUAGGGGAGCUUACUGUAGUAGGUAGAAGGUCGAUCGUAAGGACGGCUGGACGAGGCAGUAGUGAGAAUGCCGGAAUAAGUAGCGAGAGUAGAGUGAGAAUCUUUACCGUCGAAAACCUAAGGUUUCCUGGGGAAGGUUCGUCCGCCCAGGGUAAGUCGGGUCCUAAGGCGAGGCCGAGAGGCGUAGUCGAUGGGCAACAGGUUGAUAUUCCUGUACUACCGUUACUCGUUUGAGAGAGGUGGGGACGCAGGGGGAUAAGUUAAGCGAGCAGCUGGAAGAGCUCGUCCAAGAGAGGUAGAUAGUCUGGUAGGCAAAUCCGCCGGACGUUUCGAAGGCUUGAUGGGGAGGGAAAUUAGAGUACCGAAGUAACUGAUUCCGCACUGACGAGAAAAGCCACUAUCGAGAGUAAAGGUACCCGUACCGCAAACCGACACAGGUAGGUGAGGAGAGAAUCCUAAGACGAACGGGAGAAGCAUUGUUAAGGAACUCGGCAAAUUAACCCCGUAAGUUCGCGAGAAGGGGAGCCUCAGAGAUGAGGCCGCAGUGAAAAGGCCCGAGCAACUGUUUAUCAAAAACACAGGUCUCUGCUAAAUCGAAAGAUGACGUAUAGGGGCUGACGCCUGCCCGGUGCUGGAAGGUUACGGGGAUUUGUAAGCCGCAAGGCGAAGCAAUGAACUUAAGCCCCAGUAAACGGCGGCCGUAACUAUAACGGUCCUAAGGUAGCGAAAUUCCUUGUCAGGUAAGUUC